GAAGAGCCUAAUAUUGCUGAAGCAGUCAAAAUGGCUUCCAGCAUGGAAGGGACACUGGACACACCUUUUUGACUAGCUGCCUAGAUCACAUCUCCUCCCUAGUCAUGCUAGCAAACUCAACUCACAGGUGGAGAUAUUGAGCAGAAUGCAGUGUGAAGAGAGGGAUCCAGACUCCUUAACACUGUGAGCGAAGGAACCCCGGAAGGCACUGAUCCAAGGCUACAAGGAACCUAGACUGGGGUCUUCUGCUUCCCAGUAUGAUGGUGUCAUGCUUCCCAAUGUGGCUCCUGAAGUAUAAGAUACAUUAGCUCUCAUAAUUAGAAGCACUUGGAAGAUGCAUGAAGAAUAAAGAAUAGCUAUCAGAAAGGUGGGGAUCCCCAGCCCUUGAAAAAUAUUCCAUAAAAAACAAG
Molecule: long non-coding RNA, 410 nt
Organism: Choloepus didactylus (southern two-toed sloth)
Lineage: Eukaryota; Metazoa; Chordata; Mammalia; Pilosa; Megalonychidae
Exons: 3
Source: RefSeq, a predicted model, not a curated record